GGUGGCUCAGUGCUUAAGCAUUUGGCUGCUAACCAAAAGGUUGGUGGUUUGAACCCAUCAUCACCU
This 66-nucleotide transfer RNA is filed under the name Loxodonta africana (African savanna elephant). It matches the Rfam family "tRNA". From Rfam's summary of the family: Transfer RNA (tRNA) molecules are approximately 80 nucleotides in length. Their secondary structure includes four short double-helical elements and three loops (D, anti-codon, and T loops). The record is from Rfam by way of RNAcentral. Lineage: Eukaryota; Metazoa; Chordata; Mammalia; Proboscidea; Elephantidae.